This is an unclassified non-coding RNA of Otolemur garnettii (small-eared galago), 284 nucleotides long. Its record names the gene 7SK. It matches the Rfam family "7SK RNA". From Rfam's summary of the family: 7SK was discovered as an abundant small nuclear RNA in the mid-70s but a possible function has only recently been suggested. The record is from Ensembl. Lineage: Eukaryota; Metazoa; Chordata; Mammalia; Primates; Galagidae.
AGAUGUGAGGGCCAUCUGGCUGCAAUAUCUGUCACCCCAGUGAUGGCCAGGAUUGGUUCAUUGGAUCUGGCUGGCUAGGCAGGUGUCCCCUUCCUCCCACUUCACUCUGUGUCUGUCCCUCCUGAAGCUACUUGGUUGAAGAGGAUGACCUUCCCCAACAGAGGAGGACUACUCUUUGGUCAAGGGUAUAUGAAUAGCUGCUGUUCAAAUUCCAUAUUCUUAAGUUAAUUAUCCUCAUUCCUGAUGCUGUUGCACUGCUGGGUUUCCAUAUGCAAUGGCCUAAG